This 512-nucleotide unclassified non-coding RNA is filed under the name Barbarea vulgaris (winter cress). RNAcentral describes it as "sequence contains ITS1, 5.8S rRNA gene and ITS2". The record is from RNAcentral. Lineage: Eukaryota; Viridiplantae; Streptophyta; Magnoliopsida; Brassicales; Brassicaceae.
UCCGGACAGAACGACCGACGAUACGAAGAGGCUUUAGUUCACCACCGCAUGUCGGGACGCUCUAGGCGCCCUUAGCUCGGAUUUUGGCCAACCGCGUGCGGUAACACACGGGAGACCAGCUUCCGUCCCAUAUCCGAGAAGGAUGAGAGGGACGACGGUUUGUGACACCCAGGCAGACGUGCCCUCGGCCAGAAGGCUUGGGGCGCAACUUGCGUUCAAAGACUCGAUGGUUCACGGGAUUCUGCAAUUCACACCAAGUAUCGCAUUUCGCUACGUUCUUCAUCGAUGCGAGAGCCGAGAUAUCCGUUGCCGAGAGUCGUUUUAGACUUUUGAUCGCAGCUCACCAAACGCACACCCCCCGUCUCCGGAGAGGCGAAGGCUUGCUGUUCAUAUGCAUGUUCCUUGACACUUUUCGUGCCGUGGUUUUGUGAUAUCCGGAAGCUACKCGCACAACCCAAACAAAGAGAGAGCUCCCGGUAAGGAUUGUUCACGAAACCACGGAUUSGGCAAAA